Molecule: ribosomal RNA, 254 nt
Filed under: uncultured bacterium
Lineage: Bacteria
Description: partial 16S ribosomal RNA
Rfam family: Bacterial small subunit ribosomal RNA
Source: RNAcentral
GACGAACCGUGCGAACGUUAUUCGGAAUCACUGGGCUUAAAGCGCGUGUAGGCGGAUGGGUACGUCGGUCGCUGAAAUCCCCCGGCUCAACCGGGGAACGGGCGCCGAAACGACCCGUCUGGAGGGACGUAGGGGGACCUGGAACUUCCGGUGGAGCGGUGAAAUGCGUUGAGAUCGGAAGGAACGCCCGUGGCGAAAGCGAGGUCCUGGACGUCUACUGACGCUGAGACGCGAAAGCGUGGGGAGCAAACAGG